AUGAACGCUAGCUACAGGCUUAACACAUGCAAGUCGAGGGCAGCAUGGUCUUAGCUUGCUAAGACUGAUGGCGACCGGCGCGACGGGUGAGUAACGCGUAUCCAACCUCGGCCCUUAGUAGGGAACAGCCCGGCGAAAGUCGGAUUAAUGCCCUAUGUUUUCCAAUGAUGGCAUCUGACUUGGAACAAAGAUUCAUCGCUAAGGGAGUGGGGAUGCGUCUGAUUAGCUUGUCGGCGGGGUAACGGCCCACCGAGGCGACGAUCAGUAGGGGUUCUGAGAGGAAGGUCCCCCACAUUGGUACUGAGACACGGACCAAACUCCUACGGGAGGCAGCAGUGAGGAAUAUUGGUCAAUGGGCGUAAGCCUGAACCAGCCAAGUAGCGUGCAGGAAGACUCGCCCUAUGGGUUGUAAACUGCUUUUGUGCGGGAAUAACGUUGUGCUCGUGAGCGCAAGUGCAUGUACCGUACGAAUAAGGAUCGGCUAACUCCGUGCCAGCCGCAGC
RNAcentral lists this ribosomal RNA (503 nucleotides) under uncultured bacterium. RNAcentral describes it as "bacterial SSU rRNA". It matches the Rfam family "Bacterial small subunit ribosomal RNA", at positions 29 to 518 of the family's 1533-position model. The record is from RNAcentral.